This 642-nucleotide ribosomal RNA is filed under the name uncultured bacterium. RNAcentral's name for it is "bacterial SSU rRNA". The stretch from base 1 to 536 matches the Rfam family "Bacterial small subunit ribosomal RNA", at positions 338 to 873 of the family's 1533-position model. The record is from RNAcentral.
CCUACGGGAGGCAGCAGUGAGGAAUAUUGGACAAUGGGCGCAAGCCUGAUCCAGCCAUGCCGCGUGCAGGAAGACGGUCCUAUGGAUUGUAAACUGCUUUUGUACGGGAAGAAACACUCCUUCGUGAAGGAGCUUGACGGUACCGUAAGAAUAAGGAUCGGCUAACUCCGUGCCAGCAGCCGCGGUAAUACGGAGGAUCCAAGCGUUAUCCGGAAUCAUUGGGUUUAAAGGGUCCGUAGGCGGUUUAGUAAGUCAGUGGUGAAAGCCCAUCGCUCAACGGUGGAACGGCCAUUGAUACUGCUAGACUUGAAUUAUUAGGAAGUAACUAGAAUAUGUAGUGUAGCGGUGAAAUGCUUAGAGAUUACAUGGAAUACCAAUUGCGAAGGCAGGUUACUACUAAUGGAUUGACGCUGAUGGACGAAAGCGUGGGUAGCGAACAGGAUUAGAUACCCUGGUAGUCCACGCCGUAAACGAUGGAUACUAGCUGUUGGGCGCAAGUUCAGUGGNGUAGACGAAGUAGAGUAAGUAGUACCACCGUACGGGAGGUACGGUUCGUCGAAGAAGUAGAAACGUUAACGUAAAGGAAAGUUAGUACGGCGUUGAGACGUUGCCGACGGACGACGACGAGGGGAGGUUAGGNGG